This is a long non-coding RNA of Chinchilla lanigera (long-tailed chinchilla), 466 nucleotides long. RefSeq lists it as uncharacterized. The transcript is spliced from 3 exons. NCBI's taxonomy places the organism in Eukaryota, Metazoa, Chordata, Mammalia, Rodentia, Chinchillidae. The record is from RefSeq and is a predicted model, not a curated record.
CUGCUGUCCUCCUUGAGCCUCCCGCAGGAGGGGAAGGCGGGGUGGCCCCAGGCCCCCAGGCGCACGGUCCACUUGUUCUGCUCUUGAUUCCACACUGGAGCUGCACUCCGAGGGGGAUCCCCCAGCUGAACUUCUAGACCAGCUGGAGCCUCCUGAGCCCCCUGACGAAGAACCCCAGGCUGCAGGGCCAGCUCCAGCCCACGCUCAGGUCCCACCUGCAGAGCUCGUGCCAGUUCCACCGGCCGCUUCCUCACCAGCUCGAGCCCCACAGCAAGAGCCGGAACCUGGAUCCCCUUCUCCACCAGCUGCAGACCUGCAACUCCUGGAGGCUCCACAGCAGGGCUCAGCUCUUCAGCUCUACCUGUGGGCAACUCUUGACCCACACCUGCCAUUCCCCUCUCUUGUAGAUUUGCUUUGCAUUGUAUCUCUUGCUGUCCUUAUUAACCAGAGCUAUGUCAAUGAUAGA